This 505-nucleotide ribosomal RNA is filed under the name uncultured bacterium. RNAcentral describes it as "partial 16S ribosomal RNA". It matches the Rfam family "Bacterial small subunit ribosomal RNA", at positions 28 to 507 of the family's 1533-position model. The record is from RNAcentral.
GACGAACGCUGGCGGCGUGCCUAAUGCAUGCAAGUAGAACGCACAGUUUAUACCGUAGCUUGCUCCACCAUAGACUGUGAGUUGCGAACGGGUGAGUAACGCGUAGGUAACCUGCCUGGUAGCGGGGGAUAACUAUUGGAAACGAUAGCUAAUACCGCAUAAUAUUAAUUAUUGCAUGAUAAUUAAUUGAAAGGUGCAAUUGCACCACUACCAGAUGGACCUGCGUUGUAUUAGCUAGUAGGUGAGGUAACGGCUCACCUAGGCGACGAUACAUAGCCGACCUGAGAGGGUGAUCGGCCACACUGGGACUGAGACACGGCCCAGACUCCUACGGGAGGCAGCAGUAGGGAAUCUUCGGCAAUGGACGAAAGUCUGACCGAGCAACGCCGCGUGAGUGAAGAAGGUUUUCGGAUCGUAAAGCUCUGUUGUAAGAGAAGAACGGGUGUGAGAGUGGAAAGUUCACACUGUGACGGUAUCUUACCAGAAAGGGACGGCUAACUACGUG